This 2562-nucleotide long non-coding RNA is filed under the name Homo sapiens (human). Its description in RNAcentral is "HSALNT0343890". Lineage: Eukaryota; Metazoa; Chordata; Mammalia; Primates; Hominidae. The record is from RNAcentral.
CCGCGGGUGGGGCGGCCGGGCCUGCGCUGGGGACGGCUCUGGGGACUGCGGCCGGCGCCGGGACCUGGAGGGGACGCUGGGGCCGAAGCAGCAUGUGACACCGACCAGUGUCAGCUCUGUUGUCCAGGCUGGUGUAUGGCGUGAUCUCUGCUCACUGCAACCUCUGCCUCCCAGGUUCAAGUGAUUCUUGUGCCUCAGCCACCCAAGUAGCUGGGAUUACAGGUGUGCACAACCACACCCAGCUAAGUUUUGUAUUUUUUAGUAGACAUGGGUUUUCACUAUGUUGGCCAGGCUGAUCUCGAACUCCUGGCCUCAAGUGGCCCACCCACAUCAGCCUCCCAAGUGCUGGGAUUACAGGUGUGAGCCACUGCACCUGGCCUUAUUAAUCUUCUAUAACAGAAAUUUUUAACCCUUUCACCAAUACGCUCCCAUUUUUCUCUCCCCCCAGCACAUCGCAGCAACCAUUCUACUCCCUGUUUCUAUGAGUUCGACUAUUUUGCAUUUUACAUAUAAGUGAGAUCAUGCAUUAUUUGUCUAUGUCUGGCUUGUUUCACUUAACAUAAUGUCCUCUGGUUCAUUCACAUUAUCACAAAUGGCAGGAUUUCCCCUUUUGAAGAUUGAAUGAUAUUCUAUUGUGUGUGUGUAUACAAAUGAAUGAAUAAUAUUUUAUUGUGUGUAUAUACAAAUGAAUAAAUAAGGAAAAUGGUGUGUGUGUGUAUGAAUGGAACCACAAAAUUCUAAAUAGCCAAAACAAUCUUUAAUAAUAACAAAGCUAGAGGCACCACAAUUGUUGAUUUCAAAAUAUAUUACAAAGCUUUAAUAAUCUAAACAGUGUGGAACUGGCAUAAAAACAAGACAUGUAGACCAAUGGAACAGAAUAGAGAGCCAGAAAUAAAUCCACACAUCUAUGGUCAACUGAUGUUUGACAACGGUGCCAAGAACACACAAUGGAGAAAUGAUAGUCUUCAAUAAAUGGUCUAGGAAAACUGCAUAUCUACAUGCAUAAAUUGCACCCUUAUCUUUUGUAUAUUAACCCACAUCACAUACAAAAAUAAAUAAACUCAAAAUGGAUUAAAGGCUUAAAUGAAUUAAUUUCAAACAGAGCAGACUUCAGUGCAAGGAAAAUUGUCAAGGGUAGAGUUAAUAAAUAGUACUAAAAUGAUCAAUUCCCCAAGAAGACAUAAUCCUUAAUGUGUAUGUACCUAGUAAAGUGUCAAAAUACAUGAGACAGAAACUGAAAGAACUAUGAGGGAGAUACAUAAAUGCACCCCUCUGUUAGUAAUGGAUGGGAGCGAAUCACAAUCCUCAAAGACACAAUCUCAAACUCCAUAAUCCUGACUGUUGAAAUCCCAGAGGGUCAAAAUCCUUAAAUGAAGUCUAGAAAAUUAUAAUCCUGAAAGAUCAAAAUCCCAAAAAUAUAAUUCUGGAAAAAAUAACUUAAAAUUUUUAAAGAAGAUAUUUAUUUACAUUUUUAAAGGAGAUUUAUUUAAGAAACAUGAAAACACGACAGAAUGCAUUAUAGGCCAGUUUAUGCAAUAAAAUAGGCAAUAAGAUACAUAUUUUUGCAAACAUGAACACUCAAGUAUACUAAUGACAGUUGCGUGGGUAUAACAGUUUUGAACUGACAAGUUGUGUUCAGAAAGAAAUAGGUCAAAAAGCAAAAUGUAUAAACGCAUGUCACUAUGGUUGGUAAUUGUGUGUACACCGAAAUUUAUAACUUCAGUCAUAUUAAAUAUUGUAAUGGAAAACCUAAGUCUUUUGGCAAGAUCAAGCAAAAACCCUGGGAGUGACACGUUGCAUCAUUAUACCAGUCAUCCAAGAAGCUACGACCUCAAGAAAUGUUAUCUCUCACAAAUGCAGAUGUGCAAAAGGACUUCUUGUAAUUUACUGAGGAAGUUUCAAUGUUUUUUAUGUACACUCAAAAUGCUUAAACAUAAAGUCAAUGUUGUUAUAAUGCACUUUCAAAAACUCAAAUUUGCAAAAAAUGCAUAAAAUAAAUUAGAACUAUUUAAAAGUCUUUACACAAUUUAUUCCUCCAGUAUUGGGAAUGAAGAUGAAAUACACAGUAUAGUUAUUGUAAAAAAUAAUGCUGACAAUAUAAAAUAGUGGAAAAAAUUAAAACAAGAAAAACAAAGGAGAAGAAAUGCAAAAAAAACUAAAAAGAAUAUUUGACAUAUGAAAAAGUGUAUUACAGGACUAAGUUGUGGGCAGUUGCCCAGAGGUAAUCCAUAAAAGCUGGCCAACUUUGAUUAUCGUUAACUAUUUUUUGAAGCCUUGCAUCGUGUUGAAUAGCUGCUUUUGUUCUUUUAGAGCAUGGCUUUCCUUGGAGACUAUGUUCACAUUCAUAGUCUACAUGGCAUUGGUCUUUUUGAAAUUCUUCUGUGAUUCUAUAUACUUUGACGUGAGCAUUCCCAAUUAAAUGUUUCUAUUUUCUGUGGCAUGCUUCUUUGUUGUUCUGGUUAUGCUAAAAUCCAUUUUGCAUGCACUCAUAUACUGACCAUGAAUUUCUCAGCAAAAAUACUGGUGAUUGAACAGCAAUUCCAUUGCAUACAUGUCUUCUAA